Molecule: ribosomal RNA, 467 nt
Filed under: uncultured bacterium
Lineage: Bacteria
Description: partial 16S ribosomal RNA
Rfam family: Bacterial small subunit ribosomal RNA
Source: RNAcentral
GACGAACGCUGGCGGCGUGCUUAACACAUGCAAGUCGAACGGAAAGGCCCUGCUUUUGUGGGGUGCUCGAGUGGCGAACGGGUGAGUAACACGUGAGUAACCUGCCCUUGACCUUGGGAUAACUUCAGGAAACUGGGGCUAAUACCGGAUAGGAGCUCCUGCUGCAUGGUGGGGGUUGGAAAGUUUCGGCGGUUGGGGAUGGACUCGCGGCUUAUCAGCUUGUUGGUGGGGUAGUGGCUUACCAAGGCUUUGACGGGUAGCCGGCCUGAGAGGGUGACCGGCAACAUGGGGCCGGGGAGACGGCCCAGCCCCCUAGGGGAGGGAGGGGGGGGGAAUUUUGAACAAGGGGGGGAAGCCUGAUGCAGCAACGCCGGGGGGGGGAGGCCGGCCUUCGGGUUGGAAACCGCUUUCGCCUGUGACGAAGCGUGAGUGACGGUAAGGGGUAAAGGAGCACCGGCUAACUACGU